UGCGAGCUCUAUGGACUUCGGUCCAUGGCGGACGGCUCAGUAACACGUGGCUAACCUACCCUCGGGUGGGGGAUAACCUCGGGNAAACUGAGGAUAAUACCCCAUAGGGGAAGAGGUCUGGAAUGAUCCUUCUCUGAAAACAUAUGUGCCCGAGGAUGGGGCUGCGUCUGAUUAGGUAGUUGGUGGGGUAACGGCCCACCAAGCCUACGAUCAGUACGGGCCUUGAGAGAGGCAGCCCGGAGAUGGGGACUGAGACACGGCCCCAGGCCCUACGGGGCGCAGCAGGCGCGAAACCUCCGCAAUGCACGAAAGUGCGACGGGGGGACCCCAAGUGCUUACGCACUGCGUAGGCUUUUCUAAAGUGUAAAAAGCUUUAGGAAUAAGGGCUGGGCAAAUCCGGUGCCAGCAGCCGCGGUAACACCGGCGGCCCGAGUGGUGACCACUUUUAUUGGGCCUAAAGCGUCCGUAGCCGGUCCAGUAAGUCCCUGUUUAAAUCCUACGGCUUAACCGUAGGGCUGGCAGGGAUACUGCUGGACUUGGGACCGGGAGAGGGCGAGGGUACUUCAGGGGUAGCGGUGAAAUGUGUUGAUCCCUGGAGGACCACCUAUGGCGAAGGCACUCGCCUGGAACGGGUCCGACGGUGAGGGACGAAAGCCAGGGGCGCGAACCGGAUUAGAUACCCGGGUAGUCCUGGCCGUAAACUCUGCGNGAUAGGGUGUUAGGUAGGCCCCGUGCCUAUCUUAGUGCCGAAGGGAAGCCGUUAAGUCCGCCGCCUGGGGGAGUACGGUCGCAAGACUGAAACUUAAGGAAUUGGCCGGGGGAGCACUACAACGGGU
This 836-nucleotide ribosomal RNA is filed under the name uncultured Methanothermococcus sp. RNAcentral describes it as "bacterial SSU rRNA". It matches the Rfam family "Archaeal small subunit ribosomal RNA", at positions 52 to 889 of the family's 1478-position model. The record is from RNAcentral. Lineage: Archaea; Methanobacteriati; Methanobacteriota; Methanococci; Methanococcales; Methanococcaceae.